RNAcentral lists this ribosomal RNA (253 nucleotides) under uncultured bacterium. RNAcentral describes it as "partial 16S ribosomal RNA". It matches the Rfam family "Bacterial small subunit ribosomal RNA", at positions 524 to 776 of the family's 1533-position model. The record is from RNAcentral.
UACAGAGGUCUCAAGCGUUGUUCGGAUUCAUUGGGCGUAAAGGGUGUGUAGGUGGCGCCGUAAGUCGGGUGUGAAAUCUCGGGGCUUAACUCCGAAACUGCAUUCGAUACUGCGGUGCUUGAGGACUGGAGAGGAGACUGGAAUUCAUGGUGUAGCAGUGAAAUGCGUAGAUAUCAAGUGGAACACCAGUGGCGAAGGCGAGUCUCUGGACAUUUACUGACGCUGAGGCACGAAAGCGAGGGGAGCAAACGGG